GCCAUUGAAGGGGCUGGCUCAGGGUGGCCGGUCAUUCUGACAUUGUUCCCAGUUCUCCAGUAUUGACCGUAUCAGGAGAAAGGUUUUCACUUUCUCUUGGAUCCUGACAUCAGGGGGGAAAAAUGCAGUGUCAUAGAAAAAAAAAAAAAGUAAAGAUCAGCAGACAAGAGGAAAAGUAACUGAAGAGCUGUUUCCUGUGCCUGCCCCUGAGAGCUGAUGGCUUCCCAGAGAUGCCUCACAGUCCUGCGCAGACAGAGAGAAUGCAGAAGCUGGCAAAGGAUCCUCCACACGCAAGAUCAGAGGACGUCCCAGAUCAUCUUUUCUUUGUGGAUACUGCAGGUCUACGUGAAAUAGUGUGUUUUUGCGGGGUGCUGUCCCUUAGGACAAGUGAAGGGCUGAUGAGAAAGGAAACUGCGUGAGCCAGGUGUACAGUAAGGAGCAGACAACAUGGCACUGGCCAAGUGGAAAGGCUGUUUGCAUAAUAAGAUUACGAUGGGGUGGCCUGCCUUCCCUGUGUGCUACGUAAACAUCACACCUGAUCCAACCAAUCUGCAGGCCCUACAUAAAUCAGACACCGCCUCCUCCAGCCUGCCUAUAAAAUCUGGUACACUCCACGUGGGCCAGAAGUCCCAUUUGGAUGCCCCUCUCUUUCGCAAGAGAGAGAGCUGUUCUCCUUUCUCUUUCUUUUGCCUAUUACAUUCCGCUCCUAAAGUCACUUCUCAUGUAUGUCCACGUCCUUAAUCUUCUUGAUGCAAGACAAUGAACCCGGGUAUUUACCCCAGACAACAACACCACUUCACUAGGAGUUAAAAGAACUUGAAAUGCAAAUUCAUGGUCAUCUGGUUCCAAAGCCCAUAUUAACAAAAUUUUUUUAAUUGUGAUAAAAUACACAUAACAUAAAGUUGACCGUGUUAACUGUUUUUAAAUGUACAGUCCAGUAGUGUUAAGUACAUUCACAUUGUUGGGCAAUCCUUCUUCAGAACUUUUUAAGUUUCCCAAACUGAAGCUCUGCGUCUAUUAAGAACAACUCUUUCUUCCAAUCCCCAGCUGUUGGCAACUAUCAUUCUACUUUCUGUCUUUAUGCAUUUAAUAAUUCUACGUACCUCAUAUAAAUGAAAUCAAAUGGUAUUUGUAACUGGCUUAUUUCACUUAGCAUAAUAUCCUCAAGAUUCAGUCAUAUUGUUAUAUGUGUCAUAAAUUGCAUUUGUAAUAUCACAAACUACACCUUGAUAUAUUGUCUACUGAUUAGCAUGGAUUUAUAAUUAUUUUUAUGCUUUGCCUUCUACAUUCUAUAAAAGAAUAAAAAGUUGAGUUAAAAACCAAAAUUAUAAUAAUGAAA
Molecule: long non-coding RNA, 1339 nt
Organism: Homo sapiens (human)
Lineage: Eukaryota; Metazoa; Chordata; Mammalia; Primates; Hominidae
Product: long intergenic non-protein coding RNA 2817
Source: Ensembl